This 506-nucleotide ribosomal RNA is filed under the name uncultured bacterium. Its description in RNAcentral is "partial 16S ribosomal RNA". It matches the Rfam family "Bacterial small subunit ribosomal RNA", at positions 29 to 523 of the family's 1533-position model. The record is from RNAcentral.
AGUGAACGCUGGCGGUAGGCCUAACACAUGCAAGUCGAACGGCAGCACAGAGGAGCUUGCUCCUUGGGUGGCGAGUGGCGGACGGGUGAGGAAUACAUCGGAAUCUACUCUGUCGUGGGGGAUAACGUAGGGAAACUUACGCUAAUACCGCAUACGACCUACGGGUGAAAGCAGGGGACCUUCGGGCCUUGCGCGAUUGAAUGAGCCGAUGUCGGAUUAGCUAGUUGGCGGGGUAAAGGCCCACCAAGGCGACGAUCCGUAGCUGGUCUGAGAGGAUGAUCAGCCACACUGGAACUGAGACACGGUCCAGACUCCUACGGGAGGCAGCAGUGGGGAAUAUUGGACAAUGGGCGCAAGCCUGAUCCAGCCAUACCGCGUGGGUGAAGAAGGCCUUCGGGUUGUAAAGCCCUUUUGUUGGGAAAGAAAUCCAUCUGGUUAAUACCCUGGGGUCAUGACGGUACCGUAAGAAUAAGCACCGGCUAACUACGUGCCAGCCGCCGCCGUAA